CUACCUACGGGACGCAGCAGUGGGGGAUAUUGCACAAUGGGGGGAACCCUGAUGCAGCGACGCCGCGUGGGCGAUGGAGUGCUUCGGCAUGUAAAGCCCUAUCAGCAGGGAAGAAAAUGACGGUACCUGACUAAGAAGCCCCGGCUAACUACGUGCCAGCAGCCGCGGUAAUACGUAGGGGGCAAGCGUUAUCCGGAAUUACUGGGUGUAAAGGGAGCGUAGACGGCUGUGCAAGUCUGGAGUGAAAGGCGGGGGCCCAACCCCCGGACUGCUCUGGAAACUGUAUGGCUGGAGUGCAGGAGAGG
This 305-nucleotide ribosomal RNA is filed under the name uncultured bacterium. Its description in RNAcentral is "bacterial SSU rRNA". It matches the Rfam family "Bacterial small subunit ribosomal RNA", at positions 333 to 657 of the family's 1533-position model. The record is from RNAcentral.